This 484-nucleotide ribosomal RNA is filed under the name uncultured bacterium. RNAcentral's name for it is "partial 16S ribosomal RNA". It matches the Rfam family "Bacterial small subunit ribosomal RNA", at positions 29 to 507 of the family's 1533-position model. The record is from RNAcentral.
AUUGAACGCUGGCGGCAUGCUUUACACAUGCAAGUCGAACGGCAGCGCGGGCUUCGGCCUGGCGGCGAGUGGCGAACGGGUGAGUAAUACAUCGGAACGUGCCCAGUAGUGGGGGAUAGCUCGGCGAAAGCCGGAUUAAUACCGCAUACGACCUGAGGGUGAAAGCGGGGGAUCUUCGGACCUCGCGCUAUUUGAGCGGCCGAUGGCAGAUUAGCUAGUUGGUGGGGUAAAGGCCUACCAAGGCGCCGAACUGUAGCUGGUCUGAGAGGACGGCCAGCCACACUGGGACUGAGACACGGCCCAGACUCCUACGGGAGGCAGCAGUGGGGAAUUUUGGACAAUGGGCGAAAGCCUGAUCCAGCAAUGCCGCGUGUGUGAUGAAGGCCUUCGGGUUGUAAAGCACUUUUGGCGGGAACGAAAAGGACUGUGCCAAUACCACGGUUCGAUGACGGUACCCGCAGAAUAAGCACCGGCUAACUACGUG